Molecule: ribosomal RNA, 253 nt
Filed under: uncultured bacterium
Lineage: Bacteria
Description: partial 16S ribosomal RNA
Rfam family: Bacterial small subunit ribosomal RNA
Source: RNAcentral
UACAGAGGUCCCAAGCGUUGUUCGGACUCACUGGGCGUAAAGGGUGCGUAGGUGGUGAGGUAAGUCCGAUGUGAAAUCCCGCAGCUCAACUGCGGAACUGCAUCGGAUACUACCUGGCUAGAGGGUUUGAGGGGGGACUGGAAUUCUCGGUGUAACAGUGAAAUGCGUAGAUAUCGAGAGGAACACCAGUGGCGAAGGCGAGUCCCUGGACAACUCCUGACACUGAGGCACGAAAGCCAGGGGAGCAAACCGG